This 465-nucleotide ribosomal RNA is filed under the name Vreelandella stevensii. Its description in RNAcentral is "partial 16S ribosomal RNA". It matches the Rfam family "Bacterial small subunit ribosomal RNA", at positions 338 to 795 of the family's 1533-position model. The record is from RNAcentral. Lineage: Bacteria; Pseudomonadati; Pseudomonadota; Gammaproteobacteria; Oceanospirillales; Halomonadaceae.
CCUACGGGUGGCAGCAGUGGGGAAUAUUGGACAAUGGGGGGAACCCUGAUCCAGCCAUGCCGCGUGUGUGAAGAAGGCCCUCGGGUUGUAAAGCACUUUCAGUGAGGAAGAACGCCUGGUGGUUAAUACCCAUCAGGAAAGACAUCACUCACAGAAGAAGCACCGGCUAACUCCGUGCCAGCAGCCGCGGUAAUACGGAGGGUGCGAGCGUUAAUCGGAAUUACUGGGCGUAAAGCGCGCGUAGGUGGCUUGAUAAGCCGGUUGUGAAAGCCCCGGGCUCAACCUGGGAACGGCAUCCGGAACUGUCAAGCUAGAGUGCAGGAGAGGAAGGUAGAAUUCCCGGUGUAGCGGUGAAAUGCGUAGAGAUCGGGAGGAAUACCAGUGGCGAAGGCGGCCUUCUGGACUGACACUGACACUGAGGUGCGAAAGCGUGGGUAGCAAACAGGAUUAGAUACCCAGGUAGUC